Lolium rigidum is the source of this 1828-nucleotide RNA transcript. RefSeq lists it as uncharacterized. The transcript is spliced from 7 exons. NCBI's taxonomy places the organism in Eukaryota, Viridiplantae, Streptophyta, Magnoliopsida, Poales, Poaceae. The record is from RefSeq and is a predicted model, not a curated record.
GAGUCGGGUAGCACCGACGCUGUUGACAUCGUCACAUCGAGACAGGACGGCGAGCAGGUAGAAGCGAUGGCGGUUCUUUCUUUCCCUUCCACGGGCGGCCUCGAGAGCGAUGGUGUGCUCUAACACGGCGGGGGCGACACACAAGAGCUUUCUGGCGACUCAGCAACGACGAGCUUGCUGAGCACGAGCAUGGUCGAUAUUCCGGCUACUACGGACACGGCCAGAUAAAAUCUAAUAGUUCACCGCCUUAGGCUUGACCACGAUACCCUUGCUGUAGACUGUCCGCAAUUGGAUUUGGAGGGCAUGAUAUGCCAGUCGAAGGCCAACGCCAAUUUCGUCAACUUGGACAGCAUAGCAUAACAGACAUCGCAGAAUUGGCCAUCUCACAGUUGGAGUUUCUCAAUGAGGAAGGAGCAUGUGAUGGCAUGUGGUGAGUACUCGUGGACACACUUGCAUAAGAGACUGGGCAGCUGGAUCCAUCUCGGCGCAGCUCAUGCUUAGUUCCAACGAGCCAUCCCUCCUGGCGUAUGUGCGCCUCAGCUGCUUCGGUCACAAAUGGCAAUGCAGACAACUUUGGUCAAAGAUGUCUGGCGGCGAGGCCAUCAAUGUAAGACCCUUGCGCGUGUCAUGGGCAUCUAGGAAGAAAAAGAUUCAGAAAUCUAUAUGAAUUUGAUUUCAUCUUCUGAUUGUGAGGUACUAUACCCAACACACACUUUCAUGAUGCAUGUUUACUUAACACACUUAUUGCUGCAGAGCAUUGGUUAUCGUUUUAUUUCGGAUUUAUCUCUGAUUAUCAGAAUUCAUAAUCCUUUAAUUACCAGACCACUUUCUGUCGGUUCACUUAUUGUUCCUCUUUCUUAUCUUCUCCUAGAGGUACCAAUUGUAGCAGGUACGGUGUAGAUUUUUUCCUCUCAUCCUCAUUACCGUGCUUACUCGCACAAGUGCCUAAUUUCUACCAGAGGCAAAUUCAAACUUGCAUGAUGUGCUCCCCCACUUUUAGCGCUACAGAAUCUUUAGCUGUACAAAAUUGUUAUUGAAAAAAGGUAACAUUAGUGCAGCCGAGCGCCUGGUUCUUUGCAUUCACAAUGGGCAAAAAGUAACACCAGUGCAGCCGAGCACCUGUUCUCUGCAUUCGCACAAUAUUCAGUCUCAGCGAGUCAUUUUAGGCAAACAUGACACACACCGCAGAGGUGACUUAUUUAUAAGUUUAGCACAUUUCAUUCUCAGGUAUGUCGUGUGCGCUUUAGAAUAUGCAUGUUUCUACGAAAAUCCAUGUAGAAGUCCUUGGUUGCUAUAUUAUUCGCUGUUGACAUAUAUUUUUUCUUUUCCUUUGUCAAUAUUGCAGGAAACACAAGGACAUAUUAUGUGUCAAACAGUUGCAUCAAAUGUUUAUCGUGGCCGAUGCACAAAAUACGUAGAGACCUAUCAAAGAAAUCAUAGAAGCAACCGAUCCAGAUUCAGGCAAGGUCACACGCAGUAAGCAACAACAGCAAAAGUCAGGAAUCGGCCACUGCAUCGGUAAAAAGUACAACUUAUGGAAAAAGGAAAGCAACCAAUAAACUAUUCCUUCCAAAAAAAGGAACUUAACUUUAGAAUGACAUCAGCUUGAGUAAAUCCAUGGACUCCAGUCACUAGAAUAAUUUGUAUGGUCUCAUGGACCUAUGUGUUCUAUUUUCAGUAGCCUGUAAAAUUAAGUACUUAGCCAUCUACAUACAGCUACCUUAGUUAUCCUACUGUCUUUUGAAACCUGCCACUGUGAUAUACUUUCAGGGUGUUGUACUAUAUGAUGAAGUGCAUUAAUGCCUUAGGCAGUAAAUUAUUUUCCUAA